UUUUUUGUUUUGCGCUCUUUUUAUCACUUUUAUUCCUUGCUUUUAAAGGUUUGAGUUUUGGACUUUUGGAGGAAGAGAUGGCUUAUAGAGAGAGAGAGCACAAGGGACAUGGCCUUCGGUUGUUACAAACUUCGGCCGAUCCCUGAGCAGCGGCGGAAGGUUACAACAACAAUUAGGGGCGGCGAACUUACGGUGGUUUGUUAGGACUUCGUCUGAUUCCAUCAUUGAAGGCGACAGAGACAAAGCGAUCUUCACCUCCUAAUUUCCGAUUUAGGGUUUAUCAAUGAUUGAAGAAUUCCUUUUGUCCUCUGGUUGCUGAAAACCAAAACCCUCAAUCGACCGCUAAUGCUCUCAUCCCUCAACGUCAAGGU
Helianthus annuus (common sunflower) is the source of this 371-nucleotide long non-coding RNA. RefSeq lists it as uncharacterized. NCBI's taxonomy places the organism in Eukaryota, Viridiplantae, Streptophyta, Magnoliopsida, Asterales, Asteraceae. The transcript is spliced from 3 exons. The record is from RefSeq and is a predicted model, not a curated record.